Long non-coding RNA from Pecten maximus, 284 nucleotides. RefSeq lists it as uncharacterized. Lineage: Eukaryota; Metazoa; Mollusca; Bivalvia; Pectinida; Pectinidae. The record is from RefSeq and is a predicted model, not a curated record. The transcript is spliced from 2 exons.
CCCAAGACUUGCAGCCAGCUACUUCCCAUUUUGAGACCAUACCCUAUGGACCUUGCCUGUUCCAGAAAAGGCAGAAGCCCAUGCACCUCCAAGACUCCCUAAUUGGUCUGUUAAAAAAUACAAGAGAUCCAGAGAACAUUAACGAUCACAUGAUUUAAAGGAGUCUUUGACACUGUGAACUUGAAAUGUCAAAAUAAUCUUUGCAUUAUUUUUUCCAUAAAAAUAGAUUUUUCAAGAUGGCCAUUGUGACAUUUGCUUCCCCAGAAAUAAAACAUUAAUAACAA